AUUAACACGAAAAGUCACUUACUUUUUAUACACUCUCAAAACAGUCUCUUUCGCACAUUAAAAAUAUCUCAUUAAUACCGAUCGUCUCUAGAGCAAGUGGCAAAGAAUUUGGUGAAUGAUAUCCGAGAUCCAAGUUUGAAUUCUAAUUGAUUUAACUAAAUUUAUUUUUAAAUAAAAUAAAUAAAGCAGAUAGCGCACUAUCUAUCUCUCUCUCAAAAAUAUAUCAUCAAUAAACAAGGACUAAGAUUAAAACAAAAUAUCGUAAGGACCUAUGUG
Molecule: long non-coding RNA, 276 nt
Filed under: Ananas comosus (pineapple)
Lineage: Eukaryota; Viridiplantae; Streptophyta; Magnoliopsida; Poales; Bromeliaceae
Description: long non-coding RNA (ACOM_LNC018702)
Source: RNAcentral